This 254-nucleotide ribosomal RNA is filed under the name uncultured bacterium. RNAcentral describes it as "partial 16S ribosomal RNA". It matches the Rfam family "Bacterial small subunit ribosomal RNA", at positions 524 to 776 of the family's 1533-position model. The record is from RNAcentral.
UACGGGGGGAGCAAGCGUUGUUCGGAUUUACUGGGCGUAAAGGGCGCGUAGGCGGUCGUGACAAGUCACUUGUGAAAUCUCCGGGCUUAACUCGGAACGGUCAAGUGAUACUGUCGGACUAGAGUACAGAAGGGGCAACUGGAAUUCUCGGUGUAGCGGUGAAAUGCGUAGAUAUCGAGAGGAACACCUGCGGCGAAGGCGGGUUGCUGGGCUGAUACUGACGCUGAGGCACGAAAGUGUGGGGAUCAAACAGG